AACGAACGCUGGUGGUAUGCUUAACACAUGCAAGUCGAACGAACCCUUGGUGCUUGCACCAAGUAAGUUAGUGGCAAACGGGUGAGUAAUACAUAGGAAUCUACCUAGCAGUAAGGAAUAACUACGAGAAAUUGUAGCUAAUACCAUAUAUUACCGUGUUUACACGGGAAAGAUUUAUCGCUGUUAGAUGAGCCUGUGUCCCAUUAGCUUGUUGGUAGGGUAAUGGCCUACCAAGGCGAUGAUGGGUAGCUGGUCUGAGAGGAUGAUCAGCCACACUGGGACUGCGACACGGCCCAG
RNAcentral lists this ribosomal RNA (297 nucleotides) under uncultured bacterium. RNAcentral describes it as "partial 16S ribosomal RNA". It matches the Rfam family "Bacterial small subunit ribosomal RNA", at positions 29 to 334 of the family's 1533-position model. The record is from RNAcentral.